This is a long non-coding RNA of Monodelphis domestica (gray short-tailed opossum), 712 nucleotides long. RefSeq lists it as uncharacterized. Lineage: Eukaryota; Metazoa; Chordata; Mammalia; Didelphimorphia; Didelphidae. The record is from RefSeq and is a predicted model, not a curated record.
CUUUGGAAGCAAGGAUGCCAUCAGAUCUUUUAUUUCCAGCCCAGUACCAUAUACAGUGCUCCACACACAGCAAAUAAAGAAAUGAAGAUGCAAAGAGCUUAAAUGAUUUUAAGACCUCAUAGGCAUUUAGCUACAAAGUUUUAUUUUUCUCAGCUGAAUGUUCUUUCCAUCAUUUUAUUGAGGUAUUCCCCCGAACCUAGGGAACUGGAAACAACCCUUUUCAUUUCCAGCCAUAUCUUAUAACUUCAAGAUAUCCAAUGAGGGAUGGAGAAUGGACUGGCCCUUUUUCAACCAAGAAUAAUAAUAUUCUUUGAAUAUUUGUACUGGAGUCCUUAGCUUCCUUUUUGUGCCUGUCUUUUCUUUUCUGAGUAGUUGAUAUAGCAUCAACUUUGAUGUGGGUAUGUUCAAGUUUGGAGGAAAUCCUGUGGAUAAGUUGAAUGAAACUGACCAUCAGCAAUGGAAGUUUCUUCAUUUGAGAAGAUGAUCAAUAAAAAGAGGAGACCAAGCCCCUCAAGUGCUUUGCCAGAAGAUAUCAACUUUGAGGAAUACAGUGAGGAGCCAAAGUGAAAUUUAAAUACCUAAUCAGUAAUCCUGAAACUUGCUUAAUGUUCUGAUGAGUUUGGCAUACAACCUCCCAUUAUAUUGCAACAAUAGUUACAAAUUAAGUUACUGAAUACCCUUUAAAAUAGAUCAAUAAAUAUAUGCUAUAAGU